CUGAAAAAUCAUCCAGGUCCGGCCCCUCCCUGCACU
RNAcentral lists this small RNA (36 nucleotides) under Bombyx mori (domestic silkworm). Its description in RNAcentral is "ovarian small RNA-14713". The record is from RNAcentral. Lineage: Eukaryota; Metazoa; Arthropoda; Insecta; Lepidoptera; Bombycidae.